RNAcentral lists this ribosomal RNA (535 nucleotides) under Pluralibacter gergoviae. RNAcentral's name for it is "partial 23S ribosomal RNA". It matches the Rfam family "Bacterial large subunit ribosomal RNA", at positions 2263 to 2797 of the family's 2925-position model. Lineage: Bacteria; Pseudomonadati; Pseudomonadota; Gammaproteobacteria; Enterobacterales; Enterobacteriaceae. The record is from RNAcentral.
GGGUAGUUUGACUGGGGCGGUCUCCUCCUAAAGAGUAACGGAGGAGCACGAAGGUUGGCUAAUCCUGGUCGGACAUCAGGAGGUUAGUGCAAUGGCAUAAGCCAGCUUGACUGCGAGCGUGACGGCGCGAGCAGGUGCGAAAGCAGGUCAUAGUGAUCCGGUGGUUCUGAAUGGAAGGGCCAUCGCUCAACGGAUAAAAGGUACUCCGGGGAUAACAGGCUGAUACCGCCCAAGAGUUCAUAUCGACGGCGGUGUUUGGCACCUCGAUGUCGGCUCAUCACAUCCUGGGGCUGAAGUAGGUCCCAAGGGUAUGGCUGUUCGCCAUUUAAAGUGGUACGCGAGCUGGGUUUAGAACGUCGUGAGACAGUUCGGUCCCUAUCUGCCGUGGGCGCUGGAGAAUUGAGGGGGGCUGCUCCUAGUACGAGAGGACCGGAGUGGACGCAUCACUGGUGUUCGGGUUGUCAUGCCAAUGGCAUUGCCCGGUAGCUACAUGCGGAAGAGAUAAGUGCUGAAAGCAUCUAAGCACGAAACUUGC